AGCAGCCGCGGUAAUUCCAGCUCCAAUAGCGUAUAUUAAAGUUGUUGCAGUUAAAAAGCUCGUAGUUGAAUUUCGGGACUAAUAUGUCGGUCGUGCCUCGGUACGUACUGGUUUAUUGGUUUCUCCUUUCUGAAGAACCGUGAUGUCAUUUAUUUGGUGUCGUGGGGAAUCAGGACUGUUGCUUUGAAAAAUUAGAGUGUUUAAAGCAGGCUCACGCUUGAAUACAUUAGCAUGGAAUAAUGAAAUAGGACGUUUGAUUCUAUUUUGUUGGUCUCUAGGAUCGACGUAAUGAUUAAUAGGGAUAGUUGGGGGCAUUAGUAUUCAAUUGUCAGAGGUGAAAUUCUUGGAUUUAUUGAAGACUAACUACUGCGAAAGCAUUUGCCAAGGAUGUUUUCAUUAAUCAAGAACGAAAGUUAGGGGAUCGAAGACGAUCAGAUACCGUCGUAGUCUUAACCAUAAACUAUGCCGACUAGGGAUCGGAUGAUGUUAAUUUUUAAUGUACUCAUUCGGCGCCUUACGG
This 520-nucleotide ribosomal RNA is filed under the name uncultured Glomus. Its description in RNAcentral is "SSU rRNA". It matches the Rfam family "Eukaryotic small subunit ribosomal RNA", at positions 569 to 1093 of the family's 1831-position model. Lineage: Eukaryota; Fungi; Glomeromycota; Glomeromycetes; Glomerales; Glomeraceae. The record is from RNAcentral.